UAAGGAAUAUUGGUCAAUGGACGCAAGUCUGAACCAGCCAUGCCGCGUGAAGGAUGAAGGUCCUCUGGAUUGUAAACUUCUUUUAUCUGGGACGAAAACGGGAUUUUUAUCUCAAUUGACGGUACCAGAGGAAUAAGCACCGGCUAACUCCGUGCCAGCAGCCGCGGUAAUACGGAGGGUGCGAGCAUUAUCCGGAUUUACUGGGUUUAAAGGGUGCGUAGGUGGGCUUAUAAGUCAGUGGUGAAAUCUCCGAGCUUAACUUGGAAACUGCCGUUGAUACUAUAGGUCUUGAAUUAUCUGGAGGUAAGCGGAAUAUGUCAUGUAGCGGUGAAAUGCUUAGAUAUGACAUAGAACACCAAUUGCGAAGGCAGCUUACUACAUAUAAAUUGACGCUGAGGCACGAAAGCGUGGGGAUCAAACA
RNAcentral lists this ribosomal RNA (421 nucleotides) under uncultured bacterium. Its description in RNAcentral is "bacterial SSU rRNA". It matches the Rfam family "Bacterial small subunit ribosomal RNA", at positions 355 to 774 of the family's 1533-position model. The record is from RNAcentral.